ACUCACGGAGCUGAAGUCAGUCGAAGAUACCAGCUGGCUGCAACUGUUUAUUAAAAACACAGCACUGUGCAAACACGAAAGUGGACGUAUACGGUGUGACGCCUGCCCGGUGCCGGAAGGUUAAUUGUCUUCCAGCAACCUCAACGGGCUGGCACGCCGCAAAUCACCAUCCUCGGCCGCCUGAAUUCGCUGGGGCAUCCCCGUAUCGGUCUUACCGUCGCCAAGAAAAAUGUUCGACGUGCGCAUGAACGCA
RNAcentral lists this ribosomal RNA (253 nucleotides) under Salmonella enterica subsp. enterica serovar Anatum. Its description in RNAcentral is "partial 23S ribosomal RNA". It matches the Rfam family "Bacterial large subunit ribosomal RNA", at positions 1754 to 1915 of the family's 2925-position model. The record is from RNAcentral. Lineage: Bacteria; Pseudomonadati; Pseudomonadota; Gammaproteobacteria; Enterobacterales; Enterobacteriaceae.